GAUGAACGCUGGCGGCGUGCCUAAUACAUGCAAGUCGAGCGAACAGAUGAGGAGCUUGCUCCUCUGACGUUAGCGGCGGACGGGUGAGUAACACGUGGAUAACCUACCUAUAAGACUGGGAUAACUUCGGGAACCCGGACUUAUUACCGGAUAAUAUAUUGAACCCCAGGGUUCACUAGUGAAAGACGUUUUUGUUGUCCCUUUAAGAUGGUUCCGCGCCGCUUUAGCUAGUUGGUAAGGUAACGGCUUACCAAGGCAACGAUGCUUAGCCGACCUGAGAGGGUGAUCGGCCACACUGGAACUGAGACACGGUCCAGACUCCUACGGGAGGCAGCAGUAGGGAAUCUUCCGCAAUGGGCGAAGGCUUGACGGAGCAACGCCGCGUGAGUGAUGAAGGUCUUCGGAUCGUAAAACUCUGUUAUUAGGGAAGAACAAAUGUGUAAGUAACUAUGCACGUCUUGACGGUACCUAAUCAGAAAGCCACGGCUAACUACGUG
RNAcentral lists this ribosomal RNA (497 nucleotides) under uncultured bacterium. RNAcentral describes it as "partial 16S ribosomal RNA". It matches the Rfam family "Bacterial small subunit ribosomal RNA", at positions 28 to 507 of the family's 1533-position model. The record is from RNAcentral.